RNAcentral lists this ribosomal RNA (433 nucleotides) under uncultured bacterium. RNAcentral describes it as "partial 16S ribosomal RNA". It matches the Rfam family "Bacterial small subunit ribosomal RNA", at positions 29 to 507 of the family's 1533-position model. The record is from RNAcentral.
AACGAACGCUGGCGGCAUGCCUAACACAUGCAAGUCGAACGAAACCUUCGGGCCUAUUUGCGCACGGCUGCUUAACGCGUGGUAACCUGCCCUUAGGUUCGCAAUAACUCCCUGUAAGGUGUCUUAAUAACGCAUAAUGUCUUCCGACCAAAGAUCUAUGGCCUUUGGAUGGGCGCUGGUUGGUUUAGGUAGUUGGUAGGGUAAAAGCCUACCAAGGCGAUGUUCCAUGGCUGGUCGGUUAGCAUGACCAAGCAGGCUGGGCAUGAGACACGGGCCAGACUGCUACGGAGGGCAGCAGUAGAGAAUAUUAGACGAUGAGCGAAAGCGUAGUACAGCAGUGCCGCGGAAGUGAUGAAGGGCUUAGGAUUGUAAAGCUCUUUUUCCCGAAGUGAUAAUGACGGUACCGGGUAAAUAAGCUCCGGCUAACUACGUG